Molecule: non-coding RNA, 123 nt
Organism: Alligator sinensis (Chinese alligator)
Lineage: Eukaryota; Metazoa; Chordata; Crocodylia; Alligatoridae
Source: Rfam
UCCUGCAGCCAUGCUGAACUGAAGACACCUACCUCAUCUUAUCUGAUCUGGGAAGUUAAGCAGUCGUGGGCCCAGCUACGGCGUGGAAGGGAGAUCAGAGUGGAACCCUAGGUGCCACAGACA